CGGUAAUUCCAGCUCCAGUAGCGUAUAUUAAAGUUGUUGCAGUUAAAAAGCUCGUAGUUGGAUUUCUGGUACGCUGCGCCUGGCCCGCCCGCUUCGAGCGUGGUGUGUGCUGGAGCGCGGUUGCCAUCCUUCUAGAAAACGUUUCUACCCUUCGCUGGGCUGGAUUCGCAAUCUGGAUCGUUUACUUUGAAGAAAAUAGAGUGUUCAAAGCAGGCGUUUGCUAUGAAUACUUCAGCAUGGAAUAAUAAGAUAGGACUUUGGUUUUAUUUUGUUGGUUUCUAAAACUAAAGUAAUGAUUGAUAGGGACGGUUGGGGGUGCUAGUAUUUAACGGCCAGAGGUGAAAUUCUUGGAUUCGUUAAAGACUAACUUAGGCGAAAGCAUUCACCAAGGACGUUCUCUUUAAUCAAGAACGAAAGUUGGGGGAUCGAAGACGAUCAGAUACCGUCGUAGUCUCAACCAUAAACUAUGCCGACUAGGGAUCAGUAGGCGUCGUUAUUCGACCCUAUUGGGACCUUAUGAGAAAUCAAAGUUUUUGGGUUCCGGGGGGAGUAUGGUCGCAAGGCUGAAACUUAAAGGAAUUGACGGAAGGCACCACCAGGAGUGGAGCCUGCGGCUUAAUUUGACUCAACACGGGGAAACUUACCAGGUCAGGACAUAGUAAGGAUUGACAGAUUGAAGCUCUUUCUUGAUUCUAUGGGUGGUGGUGCAUGGCCGUUCUUAGUUGGUGGAGUGAUUUGUCUGGUUAAUUCCGUUAACGAACGAGACCUCGACCUGCUAAAUAGUUCGGCGAACCUGCGGGGGUUCGCGCGUGACUUCUUAGAGGGACUAUCGGUGUGUAGCCGAUGGAAGUUCGAGGCAAUAACAGGUCAGUCAUGCCCUUCGAUAACCUGGGCCGCACGCGCGCUACACUGAUGCGUUCAUCGAGUUUACAACCUUGACCGGCAGGUCUGGGUAAUCUUUUCAAAGCGAAUCGUGCUGGGGAUAGAUUAUUGUAAUUUUUAAUCUUAAACGAGGAAUUCCUAGUAAACGCAAGUCAUCAACUUGCAUUGAUUACGUCCCUGCCCUUUGUACACACCGCCCGUCGCUACUACCGAUUGAAUGGCUUAGUGAGCUGUGGGGACCGAGGCCUCUGUUGGGUUUCCUUCAGAACGCUUUGCGGAAGUAACGCAAACUUGGUCGUUUAGAGGAAGUAAAAGUCGUAACAAGGUAGCCGU
RNAcentral lists this ribosomal RNA (1215 nucleotides) under uncultured eukaryote. Its description in RNAcentral is "partial small subunit ribosomal RNA". It matches the Rfam family "Eukaryotic small subunit ribosomal RNA", at positions 577 to 1806 of the family's 1831-position model. The record is from RNAcentral.